CGUGAGCAAUCUGCCUUUCAGAGGGGAUACCGAUUGGAAACGAUCGUUAAUACCGCAUAACAUAAUUGAACCGCAUGAUUUGAUUAUCAAAGAUUUAUCGCUGAAAGAUGAGCUCGCGUCUGAUUAGCUAGUUGGUAAGGUAACGGCUUACCAAGGCGACGAUCAGUAGCCGGACUGAGAGGUUGAUCGGCCACAUUGGGACUGAGACACGGCCCAG
This 217-nucleotide ribosomal RNA is filed under the name uncultured bacterium. RNAcentral's name for it is "partial 16S ribosomal RNA". It matches the Rfam family "Bacterial small subunit ribosomal RNA", at positions 116 to 334 of the family's 1533-position model. The record is from RNAcentral.